AGGCAGUUGACUUCUGAGGCACCCACGUGAAAGCAGGGUGUGUGAUUGUUCUUGGGAAACAGCUCCUUAGGCUCCUGGGAUCCUGUCCUGCAACUGUGUCCAGGUCCUGUGUCGCUUUACCGGCUCAAAUGUGCAUCGGUGGUCUCUGCUACUGCCUGUUUCCUCGGUAGAAGGAAAGCCUGGGGCAGUGUUGGAGACAGAAUAAGGACUUCAGUACAUACACGAGUGUGUGGCUGUGAAGAUGUUUCCUCAAGCACCUGUCCAGCUGCCUUCCUUUAGGGGACUUAACUAUUGGUGGACUGUCUCGGUUUCUGGAAAGUACUUCUAAGUGGCCAUCAUCACUGUCACAGUCCUGUUGAGACAUCCAUAGCUGAGAGUCAGGAAAGCUAAACUCACACAAGCACUUUACUACACCAGUUCUUGGAUGAGCAUGAGGUUAAUAAAAGCUGGAAUGUUCUGUGAGGACAACCCACUGCCACAUCGCACCCUUGAUAGAGGCCACAAGGGUAAAUGUCCUUAACCUGUAAUGAUGAUGAUACCCAGAGGGAAAAAAAGAAGGGUUUCCAAGCCAGGACUGCUUACGCAAUUCCGCAGGGCAGGAGUCCCAGUGGUAACUCCUGGGCUAUCAGAAGAACCUCACUCACAUUUGCCUCUCAUGGAAGAAUCUUGCAAAAAAAAAGUUCUUGAAAAUGUUAUUGGGACUGUCUCCUGAGCUCAGGCUCUGAAUAGAAACUUGUCUCUCCACCGUCAAUUCAGCUCGUUCUUACAGUUUAAUAAUAAAGGGAGCUGCCAUGGUGAGUUUACAUGCUAGGCUCCAAUAGUACAACUUCACCAAUGGCCUCAGCUCCCGAGCCUGCGGGACUAGAACACAAGAGUGUGCUCUCCUGGGUGGUAAGUGGGCAGCAGAGUCUUUAGCAUGCUUUGGUAUUCCGCCUCCACUUGAGAAUUUCCCACCAUUUUCUACCAAGCUGCUUCAGAGAAACCUUUCAGCAUUUGCUAGGCAUGCCUGAGGCUGGUCCCAGAGCUUGGAGGACCUGCAGAGGGACUCUAAUCCUUGUGCUGACUCAAGUCAGGAGGAAGUAAGUGCCUAGCAGGGGUGAACACCUCUCCCCCAUUCACUCCCAGCUUUUCAAGGGUGGGCAGUGGGGAAGUCGGGAAUGUGGACCACAUGCCAUUAUGCAACUGGUGUUCAGUUUUAAUGCAUAUUUAAACAGAAUAAGAAAUACCUACCUUAAAGUUGAAAAGGGAAGAAUAUUUCUAACAACAUUUUGCAGUGGAUAUGAAUAACUCAAUUUGUUAAGUUAUGAAUCCUUUAAAAAAAAUUGAGUUGGUCAGCCCAUUGAUCGUGUGUAAAGCUAGUUCAGUUAGAGUUUCCCUCUCUAGGAACCGCCUUGUGUGUGCACAGCCCUGAGACCAGACCAGACCAGACCCAGCAAAUUCUCUCUGGAGCUUUUUCUCUGGCUUACUUCCUUCACUGGAAGGGAAGUAGUGAGAUAUGGGCUUUGCGGGUACAAGCAGACCUUAGCCAUGGCCACUUGGGAAAGUGCACAGAUUCAGAGGCAAAACAAGAUAACCAGGCUUCUUAUACCCAUAAGACCAAUGCAUCUUUAAAAAAGG
This 1617-nucleotide long non-coding RNA is filed under the name Mus musculus (house mouse). RNAcentral describes it as "long non-coding RNA chr8:35377909-35379526". Lineage: Eukaryota; Metazoa; Chordata; Mammalia; Rodentia; Muridae. The record is from RNAcentral.